This 240-nucleotide ribosomal RNA is filed under the name uncultured bacterium. RNAcentral describes it as "partial 16S ribosomal RNA". It matches the Rfam family "Bacterial small subunit ribosomal RNA", at positions 532 to 770 of the family's 1533-position model. The record is from RNAcentral.
AGGCAAGCGUUAUCCGGAAUUAUUGGGCGUAAAGAGCAUGUAGGCGGUUUAUUAAGUCUGAUGUGAAAGCCAAUGGCCUAACCAUUGAAUUGCAUUGGAAACUGGUAAACUAGAAUACUGGAGAGGUAAGUGGAACUCCAUGUGUAGCGGUGGAAUGCGCAGAUAUAUGGAAGAACACCAAUGGCGAAGGCAGCUUACUGGACAGAGAUUGACGCUGAGAUGCGAAAGCGUGGGGGAGCA